AAGAUUAAGCCAUGCAUGUGUAAGCACGUGCCUUAAAAUGGUAAAGCCGCGAAUGGCUCGGUAUAACAGCCUCCGUUUAUUAGACCUUAGUUAUCUACUUGGAUAACUGUGGCAAUUCUAGAGCUAAUACAUGCACGCAAGCUCGGACCUUAUGGGAAGAGCGCAUUUAUUAGACCAAAACCAAUCAAGCUUCGGCUUGUUUGUUGGUGACUCUGAAUAACUUAGUUGAUCGCACAGUCUUAGUACUGGCGACGUAUCUUUCGAAUGUCUGCCUUAUCAACUUUCGAUGGUAGGUUAUACGCCUACCAUGGUUAUAACGGGUAACGGAGAAUAAGGGUUCGACUCCGGAGAGGGAGCCUGAGAAACGGCUACCACAUCCAAGGAAGGCAGCAGGCGCGCAAAUUACCCAAUCCCAGAACGGGGAGGUAGUGACGAAAAAUAACAAAACAGUCCACUUUGUGGCCUGUUAUCGGAAUGGGUACAAUUUAAAUCUUU
This 495-nucleotide ribosomal RNA is filed under the name Coomansus parvus. RNAcentral describes it as "SSU rRNA". It matches the Rfam family "Eukaryotic small subunit ribosomal RNA", at positions 40 to 534 of the family's 1831-position model. The record is from RNAcentral. Lineage: Eukaryota; Metazoa; Nematoda; Enoplea; Mononchida; Mononchidae.